AAUCUGCCCGGUAGUGGGGGAUAACCUGGGGAAACCCAGGCUAAUACCGCAUACGUCCUACGGGAGAAAGGGGGCUUCGGCUCUCGCUAUUGGAUGAGCCUAUGUCGGAUUAGCUAGUUGGUGAGGUAAUGGCUCACCAAGGCAACGAUCCGUAGCUGGUCUGAGAGGAUGAUCAGCCACAUCGGGACUGAGACACGGCCCGAACUCCUACGGGAGGCAGCAGUGGGGAAUAUUGGACAAUGGGCGAAAGCCUGAUCCAGCCAUGCCGCGUGUGUGAAGAAGGCCCUCGGGUUGUAAAGCACUUUCAGCGAGGAAGAACGCCUAGUGGUUAAUACCCACUAGGAAAGACAUCACUCGCAGAAGAAGCACCGGCUAACUCCGUGCCAGCAGCCGCGGUAAUACGGAGGGUGCAAGCGUUAAUCGGAAUUACUGGGCGUAAAGCGCGCGUAGGUGGCUUGAUAAGCCGGUUGUGAAAGCCCCGGGCUCAACCUGGGAACGGCAUCCGGAACUGUCAAGCUAGAGUGCAGGAGAGGAAGGUAGAAUUCCCGGUGUAGCGGUGAAAUGCGUAGAGAUCGGGAGGAAUACCAGUGGCGAAGGCGGCCUUCUGGACUGACACUGACACUGAGGUGCGAAAGCGUGGGUAGCAAACAGGAUUAGAUACCCUGGUAGUCCACGCCGUAAACGAUGUCGACCAGCCGUUGGGUGCCUAGCGCACUUUGUGGCGAAGUUAACGCGAUAAGUCGACCGCCUGGGGAGUACGGCCGCAAGGUUAAAACUCAAAUGAAUUGACGGGGGCCCGCACAAGCGGUGGAGCAUGUGGUUUAAUUCGAUGCAACGCGAAGAACCUUACCUACUCUUGACAUCCUGCGAACUUGUGAGAGAUCACUUGGUGCCUUCGGGAACGCAGAGACAGGUGCUGCAUGGCUGUCGUCAGCUCGUGUUGUGAAAUGUUGGGUUAAGUCCCGUAACGAGCGCAACCCUUGUCCUUAUUUGCCAGCGCGUAAUGGCGGGAACUCUAAGGAGACUGCCGGUGACAAACCGGAGGAAGGUGGGGACGACGUCAAGUCAUCAUGGCCCUUACGAGUAGGGCUACACACGUGCUACAAUGGCCGGUACAAAGGGUUGCGAGCUCGCGAGAGUCAGCUAAUCCCGAAAAGCCGGUCUCAGUCCGGAUCGGAGUCUGCAACUCGACUCCGUGAAGUCGGAAUCGCUAGUAAUCGUGAAUCAGAAUGUCACGGUGAAUACGUUCCCGGGCCUUGUACAC
Molecule: ribosomal RNA, 1264 nt
Filed under: Halomonas sp. PCM02
Lineage: Bacteria; Pseudomonadati; Pseudomonadota; Gammaproteobacteria; Oceanospirillales; Halomonadaceae
Description: bacterial SSU rRNA
Rfam family: Bacterial small subunit ribosomal RNA
Source: RNAcentral